UCGAGAAUCUUCGGCAAUGGGCGCAAGCCUGACCGAGCGAUGCCGCGUGCGGGAUGAAGGCCUUCGGGUUGUAAACCGCUGUCGUAGGGGAGCAAGGGGAAACCUUGAGCGAUCCUAGGAGGAAGGACGGGCUAAGUUCGUGCCAGCAGCCGCGGUAAUACGAACCGUCCAAACGUUAUUCGGAAUCACUGGGCUUAAAGAGUCCGUAGGCGGCUUGGUAAGUAGGGUGUGAAAUCCCACGGCUCAACCGUGGAACUGCGCCCUAAACUACCAAGCUUGAGGGAGCUAGAGGUAAGCGGAACUGAUGGUGGAGCGGUGAAAUGCGUUGAUAUCAUCAGGAACACCGGAGGCGAAGGCGGCUUACUGGGGCUUUUCUGACGCUGAGGGACGAAAGCUAGGGUAGCGAACGG
This 410-nucleotide ribosomal RNA is filed under the name uncultured bacterium. Its description in RNAcentral is "bacterial SSU rRNA". It matches the Rfam family "Bacterial small subunit ribosomal RNA", at positions 355 to 775 of the family's 1533-position model. The record is from RNAcentral.